The sequence is a ribosomal RNA, 2962 nucleotides long. It matches the Rfam family "Bacterial large subunit ribosomal RNA".
AGAGCAAAUGGUGGAUGCCUUGGCUAGUAGAGGCGAUGAAAGACGUGCUAGGCUGCGAUAAGUCUCGGGGAGCCGUCAAGGGGCUUUGAUCCGGGAAUUUCUGAAUGGGGCAACCCAGUAUAUAGUGAUAUAUACUACCGCAAUGCGGAGCGAACGUUGGGAAUUGAAACAUCUUAGUACCAACAGGAAGAGAAAUCAAACGAGAUUACGCUAGUAGCGGCGAGCGAAAGCGUAAGAGGGCAAACCACUAGCUUGCUAGUGGGGUUGUAGGACUGCAAUAUAGACUUAAACAAUCUAAUAGAAUAAGUUGGAAAGCUUAAGCAUAGAGGGUGAUACUCCCGUAUAUGAAAGUGCGUUUAUACUUAGCAGUAUCCUGAGUAGGGCGGGACACGUGUAAUCCUGUCUGAAGCUGGGUAGACCACUAUCCAACCCUAAAUACUACUACUAGACCGAUAGUGCACAAGUACCGUGAGGGAAAGGUGAAAAGAACUGAGGUGAUCAGAGUGAAAUAGAACCUGAAACCAUUUGCUUACAAUCAUUCAGAGCCCUAUGAUUUAUCAGGGUGAUGGACUGCCUUUUGCAUAAUGAGCCUGCGAGUUGUGGUGUCUGGCGAGGUUAAGGAAACCCGGAGCCGUAGCGAAAGCGAGUCUUAAUAGGGCGUAUAGUCAGAUGCUGCAGACCCGAAACGAUGUGAUCUAUCCAUGAGCAGGUUGAAACUGGUGUAAGAGCCAGUGGAGGACCGAACAGACGGCCGUUGAAAAGGCUCCUGAUGACUUGUGGAUAGGGGUGAAAGGCCAAUCAAACAUCGUGAUAGCUGGUUCUCUCCGAAAUAUAUUUAGGUAUAGCGUUGUGUAGUAACUUUGUGAGGUAGAGCACUGAAUGGGCUAGGGCAUACACCAAUGUACCAAACCCUAUCAAACUCCGAAUGCGCAAAGUGUAAUCACAGCAGUCAGGCGGCGAGUGAUAAAAUCCGUCGUCGAGAGGGGAACAACCCAGACUAACAGCUAAGGUCCCUAAAUCUCAUUUAAGUGGAAAACGAUGUGGAGUUACUGAAACAACCAGGAGGUUGGCUUAGAAGCAGCCAUCCUUUAAAGAAAGCGUAAUAGCUCACUGGUCUAGUGAUUCUGCGCGGAAAAUAUAACGGGGCUAAAAUGAGUACCGAAGCUUUAGACUUGCACUUAAUUCUAAUUAUAAAUUAAAUUAUGAGAAAAUAGUUUAGCUAAAAUAAUUAGAAGUAAUUAGAAUUAAGUGCAAGUGGUAGGAGAGCGUUCUAUUCAGCGUUGAAGGUAUACCGGUAAGGAGUGCUGGAGCGGAUAGAAGUGAGCAUGCAGGCAUGAGUAGCGAUAAAAGGGGUGAGAAUCCCCUUCGCCGUAAACCCAAGGUUUCCUACGCGAUGCUCGUCAUCGUAGGGUUAGUCGGGUCCUAAGCAAAGUCCGAAAGGGGUAUGCGAUGGAAAAUUGGUUAAUAUUCCAAUACCAAUUAUUAUGUGCGAUGGAAGGACGCUUAAAGUUAGUGGAGCUAGCGGAUGGAAGUGCUAGUCUAAGGGCGUAGGUUGAGUUAUAGGCAAAUCCGUAACUCUCUAUCUGAGACCUAAAAGGCUCUUGACGCUCUUCGGAGUAGAUGGAGAAUCCAUGAUACUAUCGAGCCAAGAAAAGUUUCUAAGUUUAGUAAUAAUUGCCCGUACCGUAAACCGACACAGGUGGGUGGGAUGAGUAUUCUAAGGCGCGUGGAAGAACUCUCUUUAAGGAACUCUGCAAAAUAGCACCGUAUCUUCGGUAUAAGGUGUGCCUAACUUUGUAUUAAGAUUUACUCCCAAAGCAAGGAAGGUUACAACAAAGAGUCCCUCCCGACUGUUUACCAUAAACACAGCACUCUGCUAACUCGUAAGAGGAUGUAUAGGGUGUGACGCCUGCCCGGUGCUCGAAGGUUAAUUGAUGGGGUUAGCAUUAGCGAAGCUCUUGAUCGAAGCCCGAGUAAACGGCGGCCGUAACUAUAACGGUCCUAAGGUAGCGAAAUUCCUUGUCGGUUAAAUACCGACCUGCAUGAAUGGCGUAACGAGAUGGGAGCUGUCUCAAAGAGGGAUCCAGUGAAAUUGUAGUGGAGGUGAAAAUUCCUCCUACCCGCGGCAAGACGGAGAGACCCCGUGGACCUUUACUACAGCUUGACACUGCUAUUUGGAUAAAGAUGCGCAGGAUAGGUGGGAGGCUUUGAUCCAUAGACUCUGGUUUAUGGUGAGCCAUUGUUGAGAUACCACUCUUCUUUAUUUGGGUAGCUAACUAGCCUAAGUUAUCCUUAGGUAGGACAAUGUCUGGUGGGUAGUUUGACUGGGGCGGUCGCCUCCCAAAGUGUAACGGAGGCUUACAAAGGUUGGCUCAGAACGGUUGGAAAUCGUUCGUAGAGUAUAAAGGCAUAAGCCAGCUUAACUGCGAGACGUACAUGUCAAGCAGAGACGAAAGUCGGUCUUAGUGAUCCGGUGGUUCUGUGUGGAAGGGCCAUCGCUCAAAGGAUAAAAGGUACCCCGGGGAUAACAGGCUGAUCUCCCCCAAGAGCUCACAUCGACGGGGAGGUUUGGCACCUCGAUGUCGGCUCAUCGCAUCCUGGGGCUGGAGCAGGUCCCAAGGGUAUGGCUGUUCGCCAUUUAAAGCGGUACGCGAGCUGGGUUCAGAACGUCGUGAGACAGUUCGGUCCCUAUCUGCCGUGGGCGUAAGAAGAUUGAGGAGAGUUGACCCUAGUACGAGAGGACCGGGUUGAACCAGCCACUGGUGUAUCAGUUGUUCUGCCAAGAGCAUCGCUGAGUAGCUAAGCUGGGAUGUGAUAAGAGCUGAAAGCAUCUAAGCUCGAAGCCAACUCCAAGAUGAAUCUUCUUUUAAGAGCUCUAGUAGACUACUAGUUUGAUAGGCUGGAUGUGUAAUGGAUGAGAGUCCUUUAGCUGACCAGUACUAAUAGCUCGUUUGCUUAUCUU